Molecule: long non-coding RNA, 7700 nt
Organism: Fukomys damarensis (Damara mole-rat)
Lineage: Eukaryota; Metazoa; Chordata; Mammalia; Rodentia; Bathyergidae
Exons: 2
Source: RefSeq, a predicted model, not a curated record
CAGCCCAAUUUAAAAAAUGGAUUACAAAUGAUUACAAAUAAGCAUAUGAAAAGGUUCUCAACCAGCAACAGUAAUCAUUAGAGAUAUGCAAGUCAAAACUACAGUGAGUUACCACUAUAACCUUAUAAAGAAUGGCAAAAUUCUUAAAAAUCAAAACCUACAUAGAAAGCACUCACCAAGAUGUAGAGCAUCUGGAACUCUCACAUGUUGGUAAGAAUGCAAAAUGACAUAGACAUUUCAUUUACAACUACUGAAAACAAAAAACAACCAAGAUAUCCUUUGAUAGGUGAACAGAUAAGCCAUGUUGCAUUUGUUCCAUUCUUGCAGUGGAAUACCACUGUGCAAUAUAAAGAUAUGAACUAAUAAGUCAUGUAACAACAUGGCUGAAACUCAAGUAUACCUUUCUAGGCAAUGAAAUAAACCAGAUGAAAAUGUGUAUGUGUUAUGUGAUUCAAUCUCUAGGACAGUCUAGAAAAAGCAGAAACUACAGGACCAGAAAUAAAUUAAUGCUAGUGGUUCGGGGCAGGAGUACUUCAAUACCGUGGUGGUGGAUGCACAACAAGGCAUUUGUCAAAGCUCACAGAACUGUAACUCUCCAAGUGAAUUUUCCUAUGUAUGAAUUGAGAAUCAACCAGAAAGUUGGAGGUUCCUAGGAGGAAAGCACAUCCUGAUGAGUGGAUUAUAACUAUGCUACAAAUGUAUGAUGGAGCACUGAAGAGACAGGUGGAAAAGAGGCUGGCUUCCUGUUGCUUUCAAAAACAAUAUUUUAACUGGACACUGAGUAGCAAAAGACAAAAUAUAUUUACUGACUUAAACGUUAGAUACUUUAAGGAGCCAGAGCAACACUUACCACCCUUUGAAUAUGGGCUGAAGUUAAAUGAUUUGCUUCUAAGGACUAAACUACAGAAAGGGAAAAAUAGCUCAGUUACAAUGGAGGAACGUGACCCCCACCACCUUCACCACAUGGAUGUGAUACAAUGAGAAAAACAUCCUGUCUGUGUGGCAAUCUUCUCCGGACCUAUAACCUUAGAAUAAUCCUGGGAAAAUUUAGACAAACCCAAACUGAGCAACACUGAUAACUGACCAGCAUUCUUCAAAAGUGUCAGCCUCAUAAAAAAUAAGACUGAGAAGCUGUCAUAGGUCACAGAAGAUUAACUCUGCUACCAUAAAAGUAAUGAUGGAUAGGGAUGGGAUCCUGGAUCAAUAAAAGGACAUUAGUAGUUAAACUGAGGAAAUAAGCGUUGCUUGAUAGAGUUGUCUUAAUGUUAAUUUUCUAGUCUUAGUCAAUAUACCAAGGUUAUACAAGAUGUUAACAUUAAGGGAAGCUGGUUAACACCAAAGAAUCUUAAGUAUUUAAAGAUAAUGUGAAAACUAUGAAGAACAUUAUAAAACUUUAAUCAGAGACAUUGAAGACAAAUAAUUGGAGAAAUAUGCCUUUAUUGCACUGUCUAGAAGAUUCAAUACAAAAAAAAUUCUCCUUAAAACUUAAAAAAUCCCAAAGUUUGUAUAUGACCACUUUGCAAGAUGGUUCUAAAAUUUAUUUUGAAGUGUAAAAGGCUAACAAUUGGUAAUAUUCAAGAAGAGAGUGGAAUAUUGUUUUACUAAACAUUCUUUUUCUAAAGCAGUUGUCAUGAAGAAUGUGGGGCAGAUGCAAGGAGAGACUGAGGUCAGUUGGACACGACUGAGCGUUGGGAGAUAGUCCCCACGUAUGGACACUUGCACUGUAUCAGUGGUCACCUGUGUAUUACUGAAAGAGGAUAGACUUUUCAAUAAAAUGCUUAGGAGCAAUUGCAUAUGCACAUGGGAAAAACGUUACAUUGGACCCUUAAUUUCCUCCACCCACACAUCAAAAACUCAUUCUUGGCAUUCCAGGGGAUUGAAGGCCUAGUUAUGAAAAGCAAAACUAUAAAGCCUAUAUGACUGAAUAUAGAAUAUCUUCAUAACCGUGGGAUUAGGAAGAAUUUUUUAAAACACAAAAGUAAUAGCCAUAAAGGAAAAGAUUAAUUAAUUUGAUUGCAGUAGAGUCAAGACCUAAUAAUCAAAUUACAUUGUAAAGUGUGAAAAGACAACUACAAAAGAAAAAUAUCUACAAAAUAUAAAGAACUCCUGCAAAUCAAUAAGAAAAAUAUAGCGGAGCUAAUUAAGAAUGAGCAACAGAAAAAAAUAGCACAUCAUAAAAGUGGAAUCAAAAAGGCUGAUGAUCAUGUGGAAAGGUGUUGUGCCUGACUAGCAAUCAAGGAAAUGUAAAUAAACUCAGGAGCUCAUGGUCCAUGGGGACCAGUGGCAGACUUCCAGCAGGAAACUGCAUAGACAUUACUUAGUUGCAGCCGGGAGAAGGGCUCUGAGUAAAGGGCUCUGUGCCCAUGACAUCCUUGGAGAGACCAGUCAAGGACUGGUAAGCCUCGAAGAAUGUGUGCACAUUCAGAGGCCCACAGGUCUGGAACCUGGUGGGAGCAUUUUACCGCCCCCAUUUUACAGGCUCGGGGCUGAGAUUCAAGUACCCUGGGUUAUAUUAUACAGUUGUCAAGUGAAAGAGCUAAAACUUCAUCCAGGAUUCAAAUGUUCUUUUGGAAAAUAAGAAAAAGAACACAAAUACAUAUUUCAAUGUCUGCAUCACUUGUAUACAGAAUGAAGGAGUGGCUGCAAGAGGGGCCCUGCUUUACAAACACCCAGGAUGAUAAGUGCCAUCUCCAAAGCCCGAGGGCCAAGGCUGAGCCACUCGACCCCUGAGAAAGGCCCUGUGCUGGUGUUUUAGGAAAUUAAAACGUGCACAUCAGUUGGCUGUUCAGAGCAGGUGGGGCUUGCACCUGCCAGAGAGGAAUGUGUGCUCUUUGGUUUAAUCCUGGGAACAGCACAAGGGGCCCUGCAACAAGGGUCAGUGAGGGGGGCUCCACAGGGUUGUUUUUCCAAAUCAAAAGGAGAGGCUGCUAUCUGCUAGGCAUGUGUGUUGGUGAAUGUUGGGUGUGCUUCCUCCACAAAGACACAAAAGACCAGGGCUGCCACCUCCUCUUCAAUUUGACCUGGAGCCACAGCCACUGCAGAAUUCUAGAAGACUGUUGAGGGGUUGGGGGGCAGGGACACAUCUCUUCCUAGAUACAGUGGUGCUGUUCCUUUUAGUCAAAGGCUUGGGACAAGUGCUGUACUCCCACUUCUCCCACUUCUGAGGAGCCCAGUUUUGGUCCAUCACAAUGAUGUGAAAAGAUAGCCCAGCUGCAAAGCAAGUGGAAACCAUGGUGAAUGUGAAAGGGCAGCUUAUCUGGACACCCAGACCCUGCAGAGGGCAAUGGAGUAAUGCCAGGUGUUCUCUGUUCAACUAGCCAGAGUGCCUGGCUCUGGGGAACAAGCACUGUUUCCUGGUGACAAUGAAGUCACACUUUUCUAAGGCAGUCCCAGUUUUUGAUGCUUUCAUUCCUUGGCUGCCUGUGCUUUGUCAAGGCCAGAAUCUGCGCCUAAGUUUUCAGGGCAGAACAAAACAAUUUUGUUUUCUAGGAAAAUGGGAGGUCUGGGGUGGUGAAUGCAGCAUCAGGCGUGGCGACUACCCCAGCUGGGGCCGCCAGCUGCCAAAUCUCACCCUGUCUCAAGAGAACCGGAACCAGACUCAGCACAGCAUCUUCCUUUCCAGCCAGUAGACCUGCUCAGUAGGGUUAUUUGCAUUUUAUUUUACAAAAUAUAACCACAGAAAAAAAGACUGGAAGGAAAUAGAUAAAAAUGUUAAUUGUGUUUGUCCUUGGGUGAAGGGACUUUGGGUGAUUUUUAUUUCCUUCCUUAUCAUGUCUACGUUUUCAAUUUUGAAUGCUAUUUUCAAAAGUCAGAAAACAAUAAUUCUUGAAAAUCUCGCUUAUCUGUGCCUUGUUCUCAUGUGCCCUGCCAUAUGUCAUUUUUUAGUUGACAGAAUAUAUGAGUGUCCCACAUCCCUCCCUUCUUCAUUAAGUUGUUCAUUUGGCUGGAUUACACAGAACCCUUCUGCCGUGAAGUUCUUCAAGUAUUUCCAUUCCAAUAGCAUGUGGCUUCACUUUAUCUGCAAUGAGCACUCACUCACUCCUUGCUUAUACCAAGUCAGCGUUCAAGUGCCAGCUAAGGGCCCAGUUCACCCCUGCUGCCCACUGCCCUCUGCUGAAUGUUAUUGGUAUCCAUGCUCUUCCUUGUACCUUCACCCAGCUGCUCAGCCUCUGUCCUACUCCUGAUUAAAAUCCUGCUUAAUCUCCCAGGUGUUACCCAAGCCUUUCCCGCUACAACCUUCCCAUGAUUGCUGCCUCCUCUGGAUAACUGUGGGGCUUACAUUUACCUGACCCUCAGCACAGGAACCUUGCAUUCUGCCUCCCCCACAUCCCUCCUGUGCCUGGCAUAAGCAAGACUGCUGAGCCAGCUCACCCCUCUGGAUAAACACAAGCUGCCCCUUUCCUUCCCAAGGAGUGGCCUCUUUUCUGGCUUUGUCAAGAAAUCUCCCCCUCUUGGUGGAUUCACCAAAGCCUUGUGGAUACUGCACUGUGAAGAGAACUGUUCCCUAGGGCAUCUGGACAGCUGCAGCCAGGCUCUGCGUGACAUUGCUGAGCUGAAGCCCCACAGCCUGUGCCAGCUGCCAUGCCCAACUCAUAGACCUUGAGCCAGAGGAACCCCGCCACCACCUGUGUCUCAUCUCAGAGGCGAGAAGUAAGGGACACGGACAGAAAGUGAAAAAGCCAUUCCCACAACAGCUGCCAGGAACAAGGCGAGGAGUGGAGUGAAAAUGUAUAUUCACAGCUGGCACCCAGUUCCGCUUAGGAAAAUACCUUGCUUGAGUGGACACCUGUUGUUUUUGCCUGCCCAGCAGGCAAGACUGGCUUUUGAAAAGAGCUUCUCGAAUCUUCUUUUAAGGGGUUUCCCCCUUUUCAAUUCCUAGCGUUCAAGGUUCAGGUACGCACUGGCCAACUUUAGAGGGGGUGAUGCAGCCCCCACCUUGGACACCAGAAGUGCAGUUGCACAUUGGAGGACAGUUGGUAUCCUUUUUGGGGGCAAUGAUAGCCUGGCCCAGAGUAUGGCAGGAAUUAUGAGAAAAGAGAUGGCCUUUUACUGCUGGUUUGCUGACUUGGUGUAUACAAGCUGAUGGUAAUCUUGUCUGUAUUCGCAAGUGGCUGCCAGAGGAUAUAGCUAUGUCAUGGGGACAAUGGAUAGUGAGGGAGAAAACAAAAGAAUGAACUGGUUGGAAGAGGAGGAGAGCAAAAUCUUCACAACUCCGGGGUCCAGCUGUGUCUGGAACAGCUGGGUCCAGAUGUGUGAGCCAAAAAAUGUUCCUUUUGUCCUUAAGCUAGUUUGAGUUUGGGGUUCCAUCAUCUGUUACCAAGAGAGUCUUCAGGAAUGUGUGUGACAAACUUGGGGGUAACAUGUGAGUUUGAGAUGUGGCUGGGAGGGGGAGGUCAAGGUUACAACAGAGCUAAACUCCUCCAGACAGCCCUUGCUGGGCUUUGCAGGGCGGAAGGCAGGGAGGAAAAGGCUGGCGGGAAAGAAGUUGGCCUGAGGCCUGGGCUGCAACCCUGCAAAGCCAGGGAGUUCUGGGAAAGGGGCUCCCUAAGGCUGGGUGUUUACUUUCUACUGUUGUAAUGUAAAUCCCCAUAACUUCAGUGAGCCCCUUUUUACACUCUUGUAUAAGUGGGUGUGUGGAGCAAGUUGUGGAGCAUGUUGGGGUUUACAUUUAGUCAAAGGUGUUCCAGAAUAGACUGGACUUGAGAAUGAAUAAUAUGAGAGUCGACAGUGAUAUGAGAGUCGAAGACAACCUCUGGAAAUCCCUGUAAUGAUGCUGGGCUCUGUGUAAUCCUUGAGUUUCAAUUAAUGGGUACCCUUGUCCUCCGAAUGCAUCCCUUCACAACAAACACAGUAGAGUGUGAAUAGUAGCGGUGCUGAGCAGGACAAACAACAGCCCUGAGUGUGCCCUGGAAAUAGAAAGAACAACACAGCUGCCCACAAAACAAAAUCAAUUCACCCAGGUCUCCGAGCUGCAGGAAGUCACUGUCCAGGUCUCCCAAGACACAUUUCCAAGGGAAGGUUCCAGGCAGCAAGAGCAGCCCCAGGAAACUUUAAUAUACAAUGGAAUCUGGGUUAAGCACUAUCUUCUCCAAGAGUUGAGCUCACAGGACAUUCCCCAGAAACCUCUGGAGAGGUGGGGAGGAAAGUUUCUGGAGGUCUUUGGAUGAAGAAAACAAAAAAGUGGCCUUGAUUUUCAAGGCGAAAUUACACAGGAAGAAAAAAAUGUUUUUAAUCUAAUUAAGAGCGAUCUUUUCACCUUCAUCACAACAUCACGGAAAUGUGCCAGUUCUUAACUUCACACAAUAAUCAAAGCAAUUAGUGAGGGAGAAGCCUUGGAAACUGGUGCAGAUGUUCUCAGAAUGUUUAAUGGGGAAAUGAGUUGCAGGCCUCGGUCUCAGCAUCCGGCUCCAGGCCCUGGCUACCAAAUCCAGACAUCUGCUGGGGCCCCACCCCCAGGCCCCGAGGGCGCGGGCUUGAGAAACACAGGUCCCUUCCCAGGCUGCCUCCAGCCAGGCCAGAUCUGGGGCUGAAAGGCUCCCCAUGCUCAAGCCAGAGCCUGGACACAGUCAGAGCCACCCCAGAGCUGGGGGGAGGCUUAACGUCAAAAUUAUGUUAACAACUGAUGUCAAAAGUAAUCAACUCAGCCCUGUUCCCCCAUCCUUGCUGGCUGCAGGAGCGCUGUGAACAAGAGGAGGGCAAGAGGCCCCAGAGGUACCUCUGCAAAGAACCCCUCAUCAUGAAUACCACUGCAUGUAAUGAUAUAGUAGUAUCUGCUUAGUAUGCCUUGUGGGCCUAAUUCUAUUGCUGGACCUGUUUGGUCUAAGAAUAAAACUGGGCAAUCCUUGAAUAAUUGCCAGUAAUCAGAAAACUUGUACAAGUGUGGGUAGUCCUUUGGAAAUAGCCAGUUCCAAAAAGGAGAAGGGUACAUGGCUAAUGUUAAACGGCUGUAGGAGAGAUAGAGACCUUGGGCAGGCAGUUUUAGAAUGGCAUGUACUAGGAAUAUGGAGGUGAGGAAAAUAUUGAUCCUGUUCUCAGGGAUGCAGGCAUCAUUGGGUCCUACCUGUGUACCACCUGCAGUAUGCACAUCCUUCACACUUAAGGAUUCUCAAUGUACAACUCCCAGAUACACUAAUGAGCAUCAAACCUGACAUCAGGGCUGCUUAACUGUGCAUGUGGCAAGAGGGAUGGGAAAUGAAUCCUCAGGAAAAAUAUUCAGUGGUGAUAAAUAACCAGUUUCCUGCAUCUCUGGCAAAAGUAAAGCAUGCUCUCUACAGAUACCCAGCUGCCUACCGCGGAGUUCUUUCUUGGUGACUGGCAUGGCAUUCCUGACUUAGGCAUUACAUCCAUGGAAACUGACCCAAGACAAUGUGAGAGGAAGCUGCUGAAGCAUUUAAGAAAGGAAGCAGUAAGACACACUGUAUAUUUAAAGAAUCCUCUGGGGAUACUGUGGAAGUUGAGAGACCAUUGAAGAGGAAAGCAACAACCCAGGAAGAGAAAUGAUGGUGACAUUUACAAGACAGGUCUGUGAGGAGGUUAUGAAAGGGCAAAUCCAAAGAAUUGACAAAGCUUGCGAGGUAUUUGACAGGGGCAAUAAAUUUUUAAAAAUGCAUUAUUUGAAAAAGACUGACGGAGGUUUGGAGAACAAUAGCAUGCUGCUUCUCUCACUCUGACUUCAUAUCUCCCCAUAUACCUUCCUAAAA